RNAcentral lists this unclassified non-coding RNA (244 nucleotides) under uncultured fungus. RNAcentral describes it as "partial contains 5.8S ribosomal RNA, internal transcribed spacer 2, and large subunit ribosomal RNA". The record is from RNAcentral. Lineage: Eukaryota; Fungi.
AACGCACAUUGCGCCCUCUGGUAUUCCGGAGGGCACGCCCGUCCGAGCGCCGUAUCAUACCUCGAGCCCCGGCUCGGUGUUGGGCCAUGCCCGCGAGGGCCGGCCUCGAACCGAUCGGCGUCACCGGCGGAGGCCCCAGCGCAUCGAGCUCCGGCCCGCGCUCUGGGGGUCCGCCAGUGGCCGCCCACCGAAACUUACCCGUGAAAACGGCCUCGGAUCGGGCGUGGUUACCCGCUGAACUUAA